This 494-nucleotide ribosomal RNA is filed under the name uncultured bacterium. RNAcentral describes it as "partial 16S ribosomal RNA". It matches the Rfam family "Bacterial small subunit ribosomal RNA", at positions 28 to 507 of the family's 1533-position model. The record is from RNAcentral.
GACGAACGCUGGCGGCGUGCUUAACACAUGCAAGUCGAACGGAAAGGCCUGCUUUCCCUUGUGGAUUGCGGGUACUCGCGUGGCGAACGGGUGAGUAACACGUGAGUGAUCUGCCCCCAACUUGGGUAUAAGCCUGGGAAACUGGGUCUAAUUCCCGAUAGGACUGCAGGGUGGUGCCUGUGGUGGAAAACGAUUUUCUAGUGGUUGGGGAUGAGCUCGCGGCCUAUCAGCUUGUUGGUGGGGUAAUGGCCUACCAAGGCGGCGACGGGUAGCCGGCCUGAGAGGGUGGACGGGCACAGUGGGACUGAGAUACGGCCCAGACUCCUACGGGAGGCAGCAGUGGGGAAUAUUGCACAAUGGGCGGAAGCCUGAUGCAGCGACGCCGCGUGGGGGAUGACGGCCUUCGGGUUGUAAACUCCUUUCGACCGCGAGGAAGCCACCUGGUUGGAAGGGUGGUGACGGUAGUGGUAGAAGAAGCACCGGCUAACUACGUG